AGGUGAGGACCCAAGGAUCUGUUACCUACAUGGGGAAAUCACCUGGAGAUACUUUUGACAGCACAGGUCAGCAUAAUACCUGUAGCUGUCACUAACUAUUNNN
This 103-nucleotide small nucleolar RNA is filed under the name Erinaceus europaeus (western European hedgehog). RNAcentral describes it as "Small nucleolar RNA SNORA44 (ENSEEUG00000022995.1)". The record is from RNAcentral. Lineage: Eukaryota; Metazoa; Chordata; Mammalia; Eulipotyphla; Erinaceidae.